AUUGAACGCUGGCGGCAGGCCUAACACAUGCAAGUCGAACGGUAACAGGAAGCAGCUUGCUGCUUCGCAGACGAGUGGCGGACGGGUGAGUAAUGUCUGGGAAACUGCCUGAUGGAGGGGGACAACUACUGGAAACGUAGCUAAUACCGCAUAACGUCGCAAGACCAAAGAGGGGGACCUUCGGGCCUCUUGCCAUCGGAUUUGCCCAGAUGGGAUUAGCUAGUAGGUGGGGUAACGGCUCACCUAGGCGACGAUCCCUAGCUGGUCUGCGAGGAUGACCAGCCACACUGGAACUGAGACACGGUCCAGACUCCUACGGGAGGCAGCAGUGGGGAAUAUUGCACAAUGGGCGCAAGCCUGAUGCAGCCAUGCCGCGUGUAUGAAGAAGGCCUUCGGGUUGUAAAGUACUUUCAGCGGGGAGGAAGGCGAUAAGGUUAAUAACCUUGUCGAUUGACGUUACCCGCAGAAGAAGCACCGGCUAACUCCGUGCCAGCAGCCGCCGUAA
RNAcentral lists this ribosomal RNA (505 nucleotides) under uncultured bacterium. Its description in RNAcentral is "partial 16S ribosomal RNA". It matches the Rfam family "Bacterial small subunit ribosomal RNA", at positions 30 to 523 of the family's 1533-position model. The record is from RNAcentral.